AGAAUUUUAAUGGUCGAACAGACCAACCCUUAAAGACUUCUGCACCUUUAGGAUAUUCUGGUCCAACAUCGAGGUCACAAACCUUCUUUUCGAUUAGAACUCUCAAAGAAGAUAAUGCUGUUAUCCCUACGGUAACUAUUUCCGUUAAUCAGAAGUUCUGGAUCGAUACAAGUGAGUUUAUAUUUAAUCAAGGAAGCUUUUUAGGUUCCUUAGUCGCCCCAACCAAAAUAUUUAAUAAUUGUUUUUUAAUAGAAUAUAAUUUUAAUUUAUUAAUUUUUUUUAAGCUCGAUAGGGUCUUCUUGUCUUUUAAUUUUAUUCAGACCUUUUCAUCUGAAGGUAAAAUUCUAUUAAAUGAAAAAGAGACAGUAUUGCUCUUGUGAAACCAUUCAUUCUAGUCCUCAAUUAUAGAACAAAUUAUUAUGCUACCUUAGCACAGUUAAUAUACUGCGGCCGUUAAAAAAAAUCACUGGGCAGGUUGGACUCCUCCUAUAUAAGAUUGUCAAAGAGCC
Molecule: ribosomal RNA, 509 nt
Filed under: Crucibulum sp. 'spinosum'-RC-Panama
Lineage: Eukaryota; Metazoa; Mollusca; Gastropoda; Littorinimorpha; Calyptraeidae
Description: partial 16S ribosomal RNA
Source: RNAcentral